AACGUAGGAGGCGAGCGUUAUCCGGAUUUAUUGGGCGUAAAGCGCAUGCAGGUGGCUCUACAAGUCGGGUGUGAAAGCCUCUGGCUUAACUGGAGGAGGUCGCUCGAUACUGUGGGGCUUGAGGUCGGAAGAGGAAAGCGGAAUUCCCGGUGUAGUGGUGGAAUGCGUAGAUAUCGGGAGGAACACCAGUGGCGAAAGCGGCUUUCUGGUCCGCACCUGACACUAAGAUGCGAAAGCGUGGGGAGCGAACGGGAUUAGAUACCCCGGUAGUCCACGCUGUAAACGAUGGGUACUGGGUAUUGGUGGUAUUGACCCCAUCAGUGCCGAAGCUAACGCGUUAAGUACCCCGCCUGGGGACUACGGCCGCAAGGUUA
This 374-nucleotide ribosomal RNA is filed under the name uncultured prokaryote. RNAcentral describes it as "bacterial SSU rRNA". It matches the Rfam family "Bacterial small subunit ribosomal RNA", at positions 524 to 896 of the family's 1533-position model. The record is from RNAcentral.